This 436-nucleotide ribosomal RNA is filed under the name Bacteroides fragilis. RNAcentral describes it as "partial 23S ribosomal RNA". It matches the Rfam family "Bacterial large subunit ribosomal RNA", at positions 1098 to 1538 of the family's 2925-position model. The record is from RNAcentral. Lineage: Bacteria; Pseudomonadati; Bacteroidota; Bacteroidia; Bacteroidales; Bacteroidaceae.
AUGUUGGCUUGGAAGCAGCCAUUCAUUUAAAGAGUGCGUAACAGCUCACUAGUCGAGGAGUUUGGCGUGGAUAAUAAUCGGGCAUUAAGUGUUUUACCGAAGCUAUGGGAUACGUAAGUAUCGGUAGGGGAGCAUUCCACUCAGCGUUGAAGGCGAAGCGUGAGCUUUACUGGAGCGUGUGGAAAAGCAAAUGUAGGUAUAAGUAACGAUAAAGGGGGUGAGAAACCCCCUCGCCGCAAGACUAAGGUUUCCUGAUCAACGCUAAUCGGAUCAGGGUUAGUCGGGUCCUAAGGCUCAGCCGAACGGUGAGGCCGAUGGCAGAACAGGUUAAUAUUCCUGUACUACCUAUAGGAGUGAUGUGGAGACGGAGGAGUGACAACGCCGCGGACUGACGGAAUAGUCCGUUAAAGGGUGUAGAUGUUGAUUAUCCCAGGCA